CCGAGUUUACAACUCCCAAACCCAAUGUGAACGUUACCAAACUGUUGCCUCGGCGGGAUCUUCUGCCCCGGGUGCGUCGCAGCCCCGGACCAAGGCGCCCGCCGGAGGACCAACUCCAAAACUCUUUUUGUAUACCCCCUCGCGGGUUUUUUAUAUAUCUGAGCCAUCUCGGCGCCUCUCGUAGGCGUUUCGAAAAUGAAUCAAAACUUUCAACAACGGAUCUCUUGGUUCUGGCAUCGAUGAAGAACGCAGCGAAAUGCGAUAAGUAAUGUGAAUUGCAGAAUUCAGUGAAUCAUCGAAUCUUUGAACGCACAUUGCGCCCGCCAGUAUUCUGGCGGGCAUGCCUGUCCGAGCGUCAUUUCAACCCUCGAACCCCUCCGGGGGGUCGGCGUUGGGGAUCGGCCCUCCCUCGCGGGGAGCCGGCCCCGAAAUACAGUGGCGGUCUCGCCGCAGCCUCUCCUGCGCAGUAGUUUGCACACUCGCAUCGGGAGCGCGGCGCGUCCAAUGCCGUAAAACACCCAACUUUCUGAAAUGUUGACCUCGGAUCAGGUAGGAAUACCCGCUGAACUUAAGCAUAUCAUA
RNAcentral lists this ribosomal RNA (582 nucleotides) under Trichoderma longisporum. Its description in RNAcentral is "eukaryotic LSU rRNA". The stretch from base 205 to 358 matches the Rfam family "5.8S ribosomal RNA". The record is from RNAcentral. Lineage: Eukaryota; Fungi; Ascomycota; Sordariomycetes; Hypocreales; Hypocreaceae.